This 692-nucleotide ribosomal RNA is filed under the name uncultured Bacteroidales bacterium. RNAcentral's name for it is "bacterial SSU rRNA". It matches the Rfam family "Bacterial small subunit ribosomal RNA", at positions 32 to 715 of the family's 1533-position model. The record is from RNAcentral. Lineage: Bacteria; Pseudomonadati; Bacteroidota; Bacteroidia; Bacteroidales.
AACGCUAGCUACAGGCUUAACACAUGCAAGUCGAGGGGCAGCAUGGAGUUUGCUUGCAAACUCUGAUGGCGACCGGCGCACGGGUGAGUAACGCGUAUCCAACCUGCCCAUUACUCGGGCAUAGCCCAGUGAAAACUGGAUUAACUCCCGAUGCUGUUCUGAUUGGGCAUCUUAUCAGGACAAAAGUUUACGGUAAUGGAUGGGGAUGCGUCUGGUUAGGUAGUAGGCGGGGUAACGGCCCACCUAGCCGACGAUCAGUAGGGGUUCUGAGAGGAAGGUCCCCCACACUGGAACUGAGACACGGUCCAGACUCCUACGGGAGGCAGCAGUGAGGAAUAUUGGUCAAUGGGCGAGAGCCUGAACCAGCCAAGUAGCGUGCAGGAUGACGGCCCUAUGGGUUGUAAACUGCUUUUAUGCGGGAAUAAGAUCAGAUACGUGUAUCUGCGUGCAUGUACCGCAUGAAUAAGGACCGGCUAAUUCCGUGCCAGCAGCCGCGGUAAUACGGAAGGUCCGGGCGUUAUCCGGAUUUAUUGGGUUUAAAGGGAGCGUAGGCGGCCUUUUAAGCGUGCUGUGAAAUGUACCGGCUCAACCGGUGAAUUGCAGCGCGGACUGGAGGGCUUGAGCUCACGGAAGGCAGGCGGAAUUCGUGGUGUAGCGGUGAAAUGCUUAGAUAUCACGAAGAACUCCGAUUG